AUGGAGUCUCUGAUCUGUACAAUUUCUUGCCUUUCAGAGAGCAUACCAUCUCCGGGCUCGAUGCUGUAUGAGGAGAGAUGGCAGCGCUGCACCAGCUCCAGAGUUCAGCCAAGGGCUAUGUGUGCCAAGGGCGCAGGCAGACUAGGCAAGGCUGCCAGUUGGAAAAGGGGUGGCAGAAAGAGGUUUAAAAUUGUGUGGCAAGAAAAUAAGCCAGCAGCAAUACAAAAGCAACUGCACGAGAAGAUUAAGGCAUUGCUGGAGUGACGUCUACAUCUUCCUCAAUGAUGAAGGUUAGGGGUUUCAAGCCUAGCUGCUGACUCAUAACCAAGAAGAAGAAAAAAGGGAAAAUUAGCAUGAGGAAUGUUGCUGAAAUGGCUUGUAUGUGUUUAGUGAUUAAUCUAAAUAGUGUAUUGCUGUCUGUGUUAUGGCUGGUGUGUUUCCUAGGUGUUUUUAAUGGAAUCUGAUCUUUUAAGAACAUGGGGCUCCCGUAUGUAGAACCUGUAUCUGCAGAUCCACCACCAGGAAAGGCAGAUCUUUAAGAAAAACUUUUCCAGGAAACAAGUUUAAUUCCUGACAUUGCAACACCAGUGUUUUUUUCUGAGCCUAGAUGCCUUAGGACAUUUUACUGAGCUAAUGAGCCUCUGGAUGGUAGAUCACUGGUCAGAGUGUAGCCUGGCUCUGCAGGGAUUAAAAAUCACUCCCAGUGGGUGCAUGUCUGCAGGCCCUCCUAGGACAUGUGUUUGGUGGGACUGUGUGCCAUCUUCCUUGUUAAAUACUUGUUCCCUGACUGCACUAACUGGCAAACUCAGCAGAGAGGCCUGGAAGGUGACCUUGAGCUAAGCCAUGUCACCUCCAGCGGAUGUCGCCUCUGGAUCAAGGCUGAGGCAGGCGGGGGAGGCUCGGGCUGCUGCUCCUGAGAUAACUGGAAGGAUCAGGGAAGCUGGGUGACUGCUCAGUCUAAACAAUGGCUUCAGAGCCAGAGCUGUGAUCGUACUCAAAUUAAUUUCAAAUAGGCACAGUAACAUAAGAAGCAAUUUGCAUAAGACGUCACAUGGAUUCGCAUACAAUUUUGCAUAUUUUAAAAAAAUAUAAUAAUGCAUAGCUCGGGUGGGUACGUGAAAUCAUUUGUGCAGCGAACCGUGCAGAGAAACAACGUGCAAUUAUCACAGAAGAAGAAAACAAAUGACAGCAACCACCCAGUCAGCUAAGAAGUCAGGAAGCACCAGCCCCUUCCUUCAUCCACCCUCUGGACAGAUGCU
RNAcentral lists this long non-coding RNA (1259 nucleotides) under Dromaius novaehollandiae (emu). RNAcentral's name for it is "lncRNA (ENSDNVG00000017186.1)". The record is from RNAcentral. Lineage: Eukaryota; Metazoa; Chordata; Aves; Casuariiformes; Dromaiidae.